UACGGAGGGUGCGAGCGUUGUCCGGAAUCACUGGGCGUAAAGGGCGCGUAGGCGGCCGUGUAAGUCACUUGUGAAAUCCCGGGGCUCAACUCCGGGGCUGCAGGUGAGACUGCAUGGCUAGAGCUUGGUAGAGGCGAGUGGAAUUCCCGGUGUAGCGGUGGAAUGCGUAGAUAUCGGGAAGAACAUCGGUGGCGAAGGCGGCCUGCUGGGCUCUUGCUGACACUGAGGCGCGACAGCGUGGGGAGCAAACAGG
RNAcentral lists this ribosomal RNA (253 nucleotides) under uncultured bacterium. RNAcentral's name for it is "partial 16S ribosomal RNA". It matches the Rfam family "Bacterial small subunit ribosomal RNA", at positions 524 to 776 of the family's 1533-position model. The record is from RNAcentral.